UGGGGAAUUUUGGACAAUGGGCGCAAGCCUGAUCCAGCUAUUCCGCGUGUGGGAUGAAGGCCCUCGGGUUGUAAACCACUUUUGUAGAGAACGAAAAGACACCUUCGAAUAAAGGGUGUUGCUGACGGUACUCUAAGAAUAAGCACCGGCUAACUACGUGCC
RNAcentral lists this ribosomal RNA (162 nucleotides) under uncultured bacterium. Its description in RNAcentral is "partial 16S ribosomal RNA". It matches the Rfam family "Bacterial small subunit ribosomal RNA", at positions 355 to 509 of the family's 1533-position model. The record is from RNAcentral.